This 497-nucleotide ribosomal RNA is filed under the name uncultured bacterium. RNAcentral describes it as "partial 16S ribosomal RNA". It matches the Rfam family "Bacterial small subunit ribosomal RNA", at positions 28 to 507 of the family's 1533-position model. The record is from RNAcentral.
GAUGAACGCUGGCGGCGUGCCUAAUACAUGCAAGUCGAGCGAACAGACGAGGAGCUUGCUCCUCUGACGUUAGCGGCGGACGGGUGAGUAACACGUGGAUAACCUACCUAUAAGACUGGGAUAACUUCGGGAAACCGGAGCUAAUACCGGAUAAUAUAUUGAACCGCAUGGUUCAAUAGUGAAAGACGGUUUUGCUGUCACUUAUAGAUGGAUCCGCGCCGCAUGAGCUAGUUGGUAAGGUAACGGCUUAGCAAGGCAACGAUGCGUAGCCGACCUGAGAGGGUGAUCGGCCACACUGGAGCGGAGACGCGGACCAGGCUCCUACGGGAGGCAGCAGUAGGGAAUCUUCCGCAGUGGGCGAAAGCUUGACGGAGCGACGCCGCGUGAGUGAUGAAGGUCUUCGGAUCGUAAUACUCUGUUAUGAGGGAAGAACAAAUGUGUAAGUAACUAUGCACGUCGUGACGGUACCUGAUCAGAAAGCCACGGCUAACUACGUG